AGCGUAGGCGGGCUCUUAAGUUGGAUGUUUAAAACCGGGGCCCAACCCCGGCGUGGCAUCCAAAACUGGGAGUCUUGAAUGGAACAGAGGCUAGUGGAAUUGGAGGUGUAGCGGUGGAAUGCGUAGAGAUCUCCAAGAACACCCGUUGCGAAGGCGGCUAGCUGGGUUCACAUUGACGCUGAGGCUCGAAAGCGUGGGGAGCAAACAGGAUUAGAUACCCUGGUAGUCCACGCCGUAAACGAUGAACACUAGGUUUUGACCCCGUCAACGGGUCAGAGCCGCAGCUAACGCGUUAAGUGUUCCGCCUGGGGAGUACGGUCGCAAGACUGAA
Molecule: ribosomal RNA, 331 nt
Filed under: uncultured Melioribacter sp.
Lineage: Bacteria; Pseudomonadati; Ignavibacteriota; Ignavibacteria; Ignavibacteriales; Melioribacteraceae
Description: bacterial SSU rRNA
Rfam family: Bacterial small subunit ribosomal RNA
Source: RNAcentral